Molecule: non-coding RNA, 136 nt
Organism: Triticum aestivum (bread wheat)
Lineage: Eukaryota; Viridiplantae; Streptophyta; Magnoliopsida; Poales; Poaceae
Source: Rfam
UAUGUACUCCCUCCGUCCGGAAAUACUUGUCAUUAAAAAUGGAUAAAAGGAGAUGUAUCUAGAUGUAUUUUAGUUCUAGAUACAUCACUUUUUAUUAAUUUUGACGACAAGUAUUUUUGGACGGAGGGAGUACAUA